UACGUAGGUGGCGAGCGUUGUCCGGAUUUACUGGGCGUAAAGAGCGCGCAGGCGGUCGUCCAAGUCGCGUGUGAAAGCCCCCGGCUCAACUGGGGAGGGUCACGCGAUACUGAUCGACUCGAAGGCAGGAGAGGGUAGUGGAAUUCCCGGUGUAGUGGUGAAAUGCGUAGAUAUCGGGAGGAACACCAGUGGCGAAGGCGACUACCUGGCCUGUUCUUGACGCUGAGGCGCGAAAGCUAGGGGAGCAAACAGG
RNAcentral lists this ribosomal RNA (253 nucleotides) under uncultured bacterium. RNAcentral's name for it is "partial 16S ribosomal RNA". It matches the Rfam family "Bacterial small subunit ribosomal RNA", at positions 524 to 776 of the family's 1533-position model. The record is from RNAcentral.